Molecule: unclassified non-coding RNA, 364 nt
Filed under: Hevea brasiliensis (rubber tree)
Lineage: Eukaryota; Viridiplantae; Streptophyta; Magnoliopsida; Malpighiales; Euphorbiaceae
Source: RNAcentral
AUCAGAGCCACUAUAUUUGCCAUUAAGAUUGUUUAUGAGGUUUAAUUGUGUGAUUGGAUCAAAUUUUGAUUGAUCUAAAGCUGUUUGGAUCUCACCAUGGUGGCGGCAUGAAUGUGAAGAACACCCCUAGGGAGUGUUUGAAUUAUGCGCUUGGUUUAUGGGCCAAUCACGCAAUUGUUGUAUAUCUUAAGGCCCAUAAUUAGACCCAUACCUAAUUAAAUUGUUUAAUUAGAAAUUUUAAUCACACAAUUAAUUUUUGAAAAUUGUUUUCAAGGUAUUAAAUUUGGAAAGGGUUUCUAAAUUUAAAUUUAUUUGAGUGAAAUUCAAAUCUGAAUUUUGAUUGAAUAUGUGAUAUUCAAUUUAA